This 792-nucleotide ribosomal RNA is filed under the name uncultured Glomus. RNAcentral describes it as "SSU rRNA". It matches the Rfam family "Eukaryotic small subunit ribosomal RNA", at positions 322 to 1114 of the family's 1831-position model. Lineage: Eukaryota; Fungi; Glomeromycota; Glomeromycetes; Glomerales; Glomeraceae. The record is from RNAcentral.
UCGAUGGUAGGAUAGAGGCCUACCAUGGUGGUAACGGGUAACGGGGUGUUAGGGCACGACACCGGAGAGGGAGCCUGAGAAACGGCUACCACAUCCAAGGAUGGCAGCAGGCGCGCAAAUUACCCAAUCCCGACACGGGGAGGUAGUGACAAUAAAUAACAAUACGGGGUUCUUUCGGAUUUCGUAAUUGGAAUGAGUACAAUUUAAAUCUCUUAACGAGGAACAAUUGGAGGGCAAGUCUGGUGCCAGCAGCCGCGGUAAUUCCAGCUCCAAUAGCGUAUAUUAAAGUUGUUGCAGUUAAAAAGCUCGUAGUUGAAUUUCGGGAUCAAUAUUUCGGUCAUGCCGUUGGUAUGCACUGUUAUCAUUGAUUUCUCACCUUCUAAAGAACCGUAAUGCCAUUAAUUUGGUGUUACGGGGAAUUAGGACUGUUACCUUGAAAAAAUUAGAGUGUUUAAAGCAGGCUCACGCUUGAAUACAUUAUCAUGGAAUAAUGAAAUAGGACGUUCGAUCUUAUUUUGUUGGUUUCUAGGAUUGACGUAAUGAUUAAUAGGGAUAGUUGGGGGCAUUAGUAUUCAAUUGUCAGAGGUGAAAUUCUUGGAUUUAUUGAAGACUAACUACUGCGAAAGCAUUUGCCAAGGAUGUUUUCAUUAAUCAAGAACGAAAGUUAGGGGAUCGAAGACGAUCAGAUACCGUCGUAGUCUUAACCAUAAACUAUGCCGACUAGGGAUCGGAUGAUGUUUAUUUUUUAAUGACUCAUUCGGCGCCUUACGGGAAACCAAAGUGUUUGGGUUC